RNAcentral lists this ribosomal RNA (301 nucleotides) under uncultured bacterium. Its description in RNAcentral is "partial 16S ribosomal RNA". It matches the Rfam family "Bacterial small subunit ribosomal RNA", at positions 509 to 807 of the family's 1533-position model. The record is from RNAcentral.
CAGUCGCCACGGGAAUACGUAGGGUGCAAGCGUUAAUCGGAAUUACUGGGCGUAAAGCGUGCGCAGGCGGUUUUGUAAGACAGAGGUGAAAUCCCCGGGCUCAACCUGGGAACUGCCUUUGUGACUGCAAGGCUAGAGUACGGCAGAGGGGGAUGGAAUUCCGCGUGUAGCAGUGAAAUGCGUAGAUAUGCGGAGGAACACCGAUGGCGAAGGCAAUCCCCUGGGCCUGUACUGACGCUCAUGCACGAAAGCGUGGGGAGCAAACAGGAUUAGAUACCCGCGUAGUCCCUGUCUCUUAUAC